CUUUGUUCUUCCCAACAACUUGUCCUUUAUGGCUUCUCCCAACGUAUUACUGUGUGUAUGUGGAUAGUAAGAAUUAUGAAAAGGCUAAGCACGACUUGGUAGCUGAUCCGGAACUUACUCUUGCGCAUACUAAAUUUCGAAAAUCAGAGGCUGAGAAAAAUUAAGAUACAGACAUGAAUCGAAGCCCAAAAUAUUAGGUAUCCGAAGAAACCUGAUGACCCCAUAUAAAUUUUUAAUCAGCUGAUUAUACUUUACUAUCAUACUAUGAAAACCUUAUCAAAAAGUUAUACAUAUUUACGUUAUAAUUGCGUACAUAUUUCGCCAAGACGCAACUCAUAAGAAAAGAC
Molecule: long non-coding RNA, 347 nt
Organism: Hermetia illucens (black soldier fly)
Lineage: Eukaryota; Metazoa; Arthropoda; Insecta; Diptera; Stratiomyidae
Exons: 3
Source: RefSeq, a predicted model, not a curated record